GACAAUGUAGUCGAGUGUUUAAGAAGAUGGACUGCUAAUUCACUGUGCUCUGCACGCGUGGGUUCAAAUCCCAUCCUCGUCG
Molecule: non-coding RNA, 82 nt
Organism: Paramuricea clavata
Lineage: Eukaryota; Metazoa; Cnidaria; Anthozoa; Malacalcyonacea; Plexauridae
Source: the annotation of a GenBank genome assembly